GAAUUUUGGACAAUGGGCGAAAGCCUGAUCCAGCAAUGCCGCGUGCAGGAUGAAGGCCCUCGGGUUGUAAACUGCUUUUGUACGGAACGAAAAGCUUUGGGUUAAUACCCUGGAGUCAGGACGGUACCGUAAGAAUAAGCACCCGCCAACCCCGUGCCAGCAGCCGCGGUACUACGUAGGGUGCAAGCGUUAAGCGGACUUACUGGGAGUAAAGCGUGCGCAGGCUGUUUUGUAAGACAGAGGUGAAAUCCCCGGGCUCAACCUGGGAACUGCCUUUGUGACUGCAAGGCUAGAGUACGGCAGAGGGGGGUGGAAUUCCGCGUGUAGCAGUGAAAUGCGUAGAUAUGCGGAGGAACACCGAUGGCGAAGGCAACCCCCUGGGCCUGUACUGACGCUCAUGCACGAAAGCGUGGGGAGCAAACA
RNAcentral lists this ribosomal RNA (423 nucleotides) under uncultured bacterium. Its description in RNAcentral is "partial 16S ribosomal RNA". It matches the Rfam family "Bacterial small subunit ribosomal RNA", at positions 359 to 774 of the family's 1533-position model. The record is from RNAcentral.